Salmo salar (Atlantic salmon) is the source of this 52-nucleotide non-coding RNA. NCBI's taxonomy places the organism in Eukaryota, Metazoa, Chordata, Actinopteri, Salmoniformes, Salmonidae. The record is from Rfam.
AGGGGGAAGAUGUAAGUCGCUCUGGAUAAGAGCGUCUGCUAAAUGACGUAAA